RNAcentral lists this ribosomal RNA (468 nucleotides) under uncultured bacterium. RNAcentral describes it as "partial 16S ribosomal RNA". The stretch from base 18 to 364 matches the Rfam family "Bacterial small subunit ribosomal RNA", at positions 45 to 393 of the family's 1533-position model. The record is from RNAcentral.
GACGAACGCUGGCGGCGUGCUUAACACAUGCAAGUCGAACGGAAAGGCCCUGCUUUUGUGGGGUGCUCGAGUGGCGAACGGGUGAGUAACACGUGAGUAACCUGCCCUUGACUUUGGGAUAACUUCAGGAAACUGGGGCUAAUACCGGAUAGGAGCUCCUGCUGCAUGGUGGGGGUUGGAAAGUUUCGGCGGUUGGGGAUGGACUCGCGGCUUAUCAGCUUGUUGGUGGGGUAGUGGCUUACCAAGGCUUUGACGGGUAGCCGGCCUGAGAGGGUGACCGGGCAAAGUGGGGAAGAGGAAAGGCCCCAAAUCACACGGGAAGGAGAAAGGGGGGAAAUUGGAAAAAGGGCGGGAAGCUUGAGCAGGAAAGGCGGGGGGGGGGAGGACGGCUUUGGGGUGUUAAACCGUUUUGCCCGGGAACGAAGGUGAAGGGAGGGAAAGGGUAAAGGAAAAAAGGGAAAAAAAAUG